AACAAGUGGACGUGCCGGAGUGGUUAUCG
This 29-nucleotide small RNA is filed under the name Arabidopsis thaliana (thale cress). Its description in RNAcentral is "ATSL010440". The record is from RNAcentral. Lineage: Eukaryota; Viridiplantae; Streptophyta; Magnoliopsida; Brassicales; Brassicaceae.